AAUUAGCAGACAAAUUUAUAAACCAUCGCAUAAUACUUAGACUCAAAUUAACCGUUAAAGUCAAAAAUAAGUCGCUUAGAACAUCCCGAGGUAGACAGGUUUUAGUCGGUAGGUCCGAGGACACAAUUAUCGGGAAUCCGACACUAUCCAGUCAAACGAAUAACUGGAUGUCUUUUGAAGAUUUUCCCUCUCCCAUGAUA
Molecule: non-coding RNA, 200 nt
Organism: Agrilus planipennis (emerald ash borer)
Lineage: Eukaryota; Metazoa; Arthropoda; Insecta; Coleoptera; Buprestidae
Source: Rfam